GACGAACGCUGGCGGCGUGCUUAACACAUGCAAGUCGAACGGAAAGGCCCUGCUUUUGUGGGGUGCUCGAGUGGCGAACGGGUGAGUAACACGUGAGUAACCUGCCCUUGACUUUGGGAUAACUUCAGGAAACUGGGGCUAAUACCGGAUAGGAGCUCCUGCUGCAUGGUGGGGGUUGGAAAGUUUCGGCGGUUGGGGAUGGACUCGCGGCUUAUCAGCUUGUUGGUGGGGUAGUGGCUUACCAAGGCUUUGACGGGUAGCCGGCCUGAGAGGGUGACCGGCGAGUUUGGGAGUGAAAGAGGACGAAGGCGACGAAGGGAGGAAGGGGGGGGGAGAAUGGCACGGGCGGGAGAAGGUGAGCGAAGAAAGGCGUGGGGGGGGAUGACGGCAUCCGGGUUGUAAAGCGCUUCCGACGGAGAAGAAGGGGGAUUAGGGGGAAGGGGAAAAGAAACACCACAUAACGUCGAGCCAGCAGCAGGGAAAACAGAACGAAAGAGCAAUCUAUGAAC
This 509-nucleotide ribosomal RNA is filed under the name uncultured bacterium. RNAcentral's name for it is "partial 16S ribosomal RNA". The stretch from base 20 to 329 matches the Rfam family "Bacterial small subunit ribosomal RNA", at positions 47 to 358 of the family's 1533-position model. The record is from RNAcentral.